This 262-nucleotide unclassified non-coding RNA is filed under the name plant metagenome. RNAcentral's name for it is "partial contains small subunit ribosomal RNA, internal transcribed spacer 1, and 5.8S ribosomal RNA". The record is from RNAcentral.
UCUCCGUUGGUGAACCAGCGGAGGGAUCAUUACCGAGUUUACAACUCCCAAACCCAAUGUGAACGUUACCAACCUGUUGCCUCGGCGGGAUCUCUGCCCCGGGUGCGUCCCAGCCCCGGACCAAGGCGCCCGCCGGAGGACCAACCAAAACUCUUAUUGUAUACCCCCUCGCGGGUUUUUUUAUAAUCUGUGCCUUCUCGGCGCCUCUCGUAGGCGCUUCGAAAAUGAAUCAAAACUCUCAACAACGGAUCUCUUGGUUCUG